Molecule: ribosomal RNA, 272 nt
Filed under: uncultured prokaryote
Description: partial 16S ribosomal RNA
Rfam family: Bacterial small subunit ribosomal RNA
Source: RNAcentral
UACGUAGGGGGCAAGCGUUGUCCGGAUUCAUUGGGCGUAAAGAGCGUGUAGGCGGCCUGAAAGGUCAGCUGUGAAAACUCGGGGCUCAACCCCGAGACGUCGGUUGAAACCAUCUGGCUAGAGUCCGGAAGAGGAGUGUGGAAUUCCCGGUGUAGCGGUGAAAUGCGCAGAUAUCGGGAAGAACACCCGUGGCGAAGGCGGCACUCUGGGACGGUACUGACGCUGAGACGCGAAAGCGUGGGGAGCGAACAGGAUUAGAUACCGGGUAGUCC